AGGAAGGUCACAGUCCUGAUUAAAAAGUCAAUGUUGGGGCAUCGGGCCAGCAGGCCAGAACAAAACUGCCUUUGUGAGUUGCUGGAGACAAGCCCGUGAUGUCGUCUGUUAAGCAAUCCAGUGUUCUGGAACAUUCAGUUCAAGCCCGUAUCAUCUGUUGGCAACAACUAUGCCAAAUUUAGGACAGAGAAGAUUUUCAGGAUGUUACUGGCAGGAAUGUGCAGAGGCAUCCUGAGCCGUCAGACGGGACAUUCCUCAUUACUCAAUACACCUGAGGAAUCUGACAGGUCCUGUAAUGAGAUUCUCACUCUGUGGUUUUUCAGUCUCAUACUAAACAGCACAGGGACCAGGUGAGUAACUCUGAACAAGGUAAACGGGAUUAGGUUAAUUUAAUAAACAUAGACGAGCAUGACAGUUUCACAAUUGUCCUGUUGGUGUUCUUUCGAACAUGCUAAAAUUAUCAACCUGACUUAACAACCUGUUCUUAUGACAUGACCGUCAGUGGUUCCGGUUUUCAUAAAAUUACAGUAUUGAACUGAAGCUCAAGAUGACUUUAUCUAAAUACUUUAUGGGAUGGGGUGGAGUUUAAUCCUAGUUUUGAAGCUAAAGCUAUCAGUUUCUUUGAAGUUGAACCUCAGGUAUUAAGAUUCUUGAUAGUUACUUUUCAAGGGAAUUUUACCGAAACAGACAUCUUGGUCUUUCUCUCAUUUUUAGUCAUAACACGUAUCUGCGGCUCACCUUUAUAGCAAUAUCACUCCUAUCUACCACUUAGAAAAAAAUGACAUUUCUAAGAUGAAGUUUGUUAUAUCAGUAGAUGAAUGAAAGUGAGCUUUGGGACGUUGCAUUGAAGGCCGUGAGUUAUUAGCCCAGCUAAUAAGCCCCCGAUCGUAUCCACUGCAUCAAACUACAAAGUGUGGAAAGUUUGAUUCUGCGUCUGAUAAUAAAUCGUGACUGUACUCAGUUUUGGAUGAAAAAAGCUAUUCUUUAAAGGGGACAUGAUGCACCACGCUUGAGUCUCUCCAUCAUUUUUGACAUUCUGUCAAGGUUAAGGAUUCUGUUUACGAGUCAACUUGUUAAUGUCGCUGUUCUCAUCGUUUUAUUGCCAGCCACCGAAUUCAUAAAACUGGAGAUAAUGUUGGUAAUUUGACAAGAAUCAGACAGACAUCAGUGUCUUUGCAGACUGGAUAUCAGAAGCCUCAGACAAGGAAAUAAUCUGUUUUUAAUACAUGAAACAUUUUUAUAUCUGUGUGCACUGUACAGUACUUGAUGAAUUAUAUUUUAGUUUUAUUUAACUGAUAGGACAAAAAUGGAUUAUUUAUUUAUUACAUAUAUUACAGCCAUCCAGUCGGGGGUGGAUGUUGCAGGAUGAGAGCAAGGAUGAGGAUAGUCAUUUUAGAGGGAGUGAGGUAUUUUUUAUAUUUUUAAAAAUUUGGUUUCAUUGAAUAUAACUGUAGAAUGGCAUUAAGAAUAAACAAAUAAAUAGAUCAAUUGUUAUAAUUUAAAUAAUGUGCAAUCAUUCACAACAAGACUAUGAAUGUCGUUUGCACUGCAGGAUUUUCAGAAACUUUGCAUUUGCUCUUAUUCAAAAAGAUUACAUUUUCUUGCACAUGCUUCAUGUUAAUCACAGUAAAGAUUCUCCAGAGUUCUUUACUCUUGAAACUUCUGUGUAAAAAGAUCCAUGUUUUUUAGGCCUCUCUUCAACAGGGUGGCAAGAUGACCUAUUGGCAUAUUCUCAUUUAUUUAAUCUAAAAGGUGGCAUAGCAUUUAAAAAGCAAAAGGUUAAUGGCAUUAAAAUGACUUCUUCGAACAGGUUAUUGAUUAAAUGCUCAUUAAACUUUGAAUGUUUCCCGGCUGAUGCAAAUGUAAUGCUCUAAGUUCUGCCUCGUAGCCAAAUUCAUCUUCACAUCCUGGCCAGUCCAGCGGUUUUGUUGAUUUAACCAUUUACUACCUAACCAUAUCCUCCGUUUAUUGGAAAUACAAUGAAAAAUACAACCACGAACCACCCACAGUUAAGUGUGUGAUUAAUGCAUGACAAUUUGUUGAAUGAAGACCUCUUGCAAUAUAUAUGAGUUCAUUUUCAGUGAGAUGCAUGAAAUAUGGAGUUGUGCAGAUCAUCUUCAGCCUUGAGAAAAAAACACUGUGAGCUGACAGACAAUUUACAGUAAUUCAUAUUGCUUCAUUUCAGUGUCAAGUUCAGUUAUGUUUGCACUUUACAAAAAGGUCCCAUUUGUUAACUACUUUAGUUAGGAUGAACUCACAAUGAACAAUACUUCUGCAUUUAUUAAUCUUGAUUAAUGUUAACAAAAGCAAUUAUGUUGUAACUUGUACCCAGAAUUUGCUUAAUCAGUUUUUUAGGGGGCCUGAGAUGAAACAAGGGGGAGCAGUGUUAAUCAGGCUCGUUACUUGCUGGACAUUCCUGUAAAAAUAAUGUUCACCUUCAAUCAAACCAUCCUGAUCUCACGGAUAUUCAUAACUAUUUUACGAGAUGGCUAAUUCGUACGUUGUGAAUCGUACAAAAUCGCGAGUUCACUUGAAGGUACAGUAGGUGUUUGGAGCUGGGCGGUAAGCUCAAGCAAUGUUGUGGGCAAAAGACAUGACAUUGUGACUCACGCCCUACGUCUUUUUUAUUCUGCCUGACUGAAUAAUCUCAUUUGUAUGUUGUGGUGGAUUACACCCACUCCAGACACAGGGCUGGUUAUUAUUUCAGUGACAGCCAAAAUAAACAGGAUAGACUCAACAAGUAAAUGCAGCACAGGCACUGAUAGAGUGAUCGGAAUCAGAGUCUAGAGAAUAGUUUAAUGAAUCUGAGCACACACACAAACCUGUGGGUGAUAUUUCCCCUGAAGAUACUUCGGUGUAAUGGUCUCACGCUUUCCAGAAGCAUAUUUCACAUGAAAUGACAAAUGUAAAAGAAGUGCAUUGCAGGUUUGCAUAUUAUUUUCUUUGCCCUCGAAAACAAACCCUUACAGAAAAGACACAUGAAUUUCACAUGUUUUUUACAUGUUUUGCAUAUACAUGUAAUACAGUAUGUUAUCCCAUGGGUUUUUACAUGUUAUCCCAUGGGUUUCACGUGGGAAUUCACAUGGAAUUCACACCAAAAUGUUCCAAAAACACACAUUUCACAUGUGAUCACAUGUGUUUUUUGCACAUGUGAACUUCGUGUGUCUUUUCUGUAAGGGAAAUCAAAUGCUUUUGGAAUGAAAAUAAAACCUUAUGCUCCCUGAAUGAUAAAUGCCAUUUUUAGGUGACUUUUCUAGCAUAUACUGUAGGGUUUAGUACUGUAUACUGCAGGUGAUCAGUCUGUCUAAUUUAAAUGUACAGUGCUUGAUAAAUUUAAGGAAUCUGUCAAAACUUGUACAAUUUUAUUGUAAUUUAUUAGGCAAAUAACAAACUAAAACAACCAAAUAGUCUGUAUUUAUGUUUUUAUACCCCAAUUUGAGUCAACACUGUCAAAAACUUCUCUCAGAAAUCAGAAAUGAAUCAAGCAUCACAUUCAGCCAUUAUUUUCUAUUUAGGAUUGCAGGUAAAUAACUGUAAUUGGGCAUCUGAAUAAACAAAUAAUAAAGUGCUUUACAAUUUUUUUCUGCUUUUCUUGUAAACCUGUAAAUUCAAAAAUUCAUGAAAAACAACAUCUAUAUUUUAUCAUUAGAAAUACUGCUGUGACUAGCAAAGAUCUGAUAAAUUCUGGCUGAUAUGGUCUCCCCUUUGGGAAUAUAUAAAAGUACAUACAAUUGGGUGGAAGGAAUAGUUCACCUUCAAAAUGUAAUGAAAUGAAAAUUCUGUCAUCAUUUACAUGCCAUCUUUUCAUUUCAAAUCUGCAGAACACAAAAGAAGGAACCCAGAAAACCCUUGGUCCCCAUUGACUUGCAUUGGUUUUGUGUCCAUAAAAUGAAGGUCAAUGAGGACCACCAGUUUUUGGUUACCAACAUUUUUCAAAAUAUCUUGAAAAGGUAUAAAAUCACACAGGUAUAAAAUGACAACAGGGUGAGUAAAUGAUGACAGAUUGUUUUUAUUUUGAUGGUGAACUAUUCCUUUUAGGACUGUAAAUCACUCAAUGCAUUAGUAAUGAUAACUAUAAUAAACUAAACACCUGAAAUUAGACAGUUUGUAGCUUCCUAAAUAUACAGUAUAAAGCAAGCAUAUACAAAUGAUCCUCUGCCCUCAUCUGUGCUUAAAUGACUGAAAAGAGCAAUUAUGAAAGCUGACAGGCUCCAGAACUUGCAGGCACUUUAAAGUUGGGCUGAACGUUUUGGUCAAUGGGUUUUGCAAGUAUAAGAACUUUAUGUGCCAAAUUCAUAAUUGAUUGCACAGAGGUUCAUUUGACAUGUUUAAAUGGAAGCCUUAAAUCUUGUGCAAGGUUCAAACAUGGCAGAUAAGCAAUACCUAAGACCUUGAUAAAAAGACUGAAAGCCAAAACACAAGAGAGGAUGCAAGGUUUAUGAUGUGUCUUUGGUCAGUGUGAUACGACUAAUAAGAAACUAUAAACUUUAAAGAGUGCAUAAAGAAGCACAUGCUUUGAAGCCAAUUCUGAAGAUUAGCAAAACGUAUAAAUUAUUAAGGUGCAAAUUCAGGUACAAUGACAUCAUGUUUGCUGAUAUGUCUCUGCAGGACGAGGUUUUGGGAAGAGGACACGUGUGUAAUGGGGUACAUUGGCAAAGCAGUUAAAAUGACUUACAGCCCCUUUAAGCAGCAAUUCAGAAAGUGUCAGAAUGUUAUUUAUUGACUCCAGAUUGUUAAGUGAAUAUCUAAGUGCUGAUGUUAAAAUCCACAUGCGCAUAAUGUUUUAGCAAUUCCCAUUUGGAUAAAUUGCCUUCAAUGCCUUAUAAAGUAGAUCACCACAUUUUCUCAUCUUGCUUUGACUUGUCUGUCCUUUAUAGAGACAGCCAAGAAUGGAAAUGGAUAUAUCACAAUCUAAUGUUGGUAUGAUGCCAUUGCAAUUCAUCCUUUCUGUUCAUUAUUUUCCGGUUUGGAACAAAAACAGUCUUGGUUGUCAUAAGGCUACAUUAUAUGUGAGUUGCAUAAAAAGUAAAAAAAAGACUGUUUAAUUGUAUAAGGCAUUUAUGAAGAGUUGCAUUUUCAAAGCUUGUGUAAUGCUCUUCGACUCUUGAAUUCAGAUCCAAGUUUCAAGCUGCAGCACAUCUGCAGUGACCUGUAGCAAAAUUAGACCAGAUAAAUGGACUGUUGGACUGCGGGGCAUACACAAGACAUGUCUGCUGUCAGGCGCAGCAGUCAUAUUUUUGUGACAAAGUGUAUUUUCCCCAUUCCACUGUGCAGUUUUAUCAUAAACACAAAAACAAACAAUCUUGGAAUAUGUUUUAUUGUUUGUUGUUACUGAUUAUGGAACAUGUUGAAAUUAGUUUUCUAUUUCUGGAUGGACAUCAAGAGAUGGGAAGCUGUCUGAUUCAAUCUAUUAACCUUUCACCACUUAAAAUGUACAAGUAAAUGAAUACUGAGUAUUGCUAUUGGAGGAAAAUCUUUGCUAUUUCAUAGCUCAGGGGAUUUGAUGGAGUUCGCAUUUUCGAUACAUACUGCAAGAUGUUGUUGUUUUUCUAAACUUGCUUACGUGAAAUAAAAAUAGAAUCAAAUGAGACAUUUGUGAAAAUAAAUAGAGUAUGUAGAUGUCAAAUUAAUGUAAAUUGUAUAGGUAAAAUAAUCUGUAUUUGGGUGAAUUUGAUGAUAAAGUUGACAUUGACAUCUUCAACAAUCUGAGCUCAGUUUGUGACAUUGUUGAGGUCUCUCUUGAAACUUUAAUGGGGACAUUUGUGAGAUUUCUGGGACUUUUUCUCAGGAGGAAUAUCUAACAUAACAGGUGACUACAGCAAAAGUUUCCAUUUGCUCUCCAUUUAAUCUCAUUGAUGUCUAAGUAAAAUAAUUGACAUAUUAAGAAGAUCUCAUCUGUGAUUUUUCUUUUUUAUGAGACUUCUAUCAUGCUAUGCACUUCAUUUGAAUUAAAUGCAUAAAACAGUAUAUAUACAGUAUACUCUAUAUAGACAUCAUAUAGACAUCUUGGUGACACAGUCAGCUUUUUGUUGCAAGUGUUAAGUAACAACCCGGCAAAUGUGCCAAAUUUGUUAAUAAUAACAAUAUUAUAGAUAGAUGCUUGUGGCAGGUGUAUGAGGAAAAAUAGGCGUCAUUCACUACGUGCUUCUUUUUUAAAUAUAUGCCCUUUAUAUUGUCUUUAAAACCUCCACAGACAAACACAGACAUCAUUUCUGAGUCGAGGACAGGUUCUAUUUUAAUAAGUGUCUCUGGAGACUUCAGACCAGGUGUCUUUUGAUAGAAGGGUGUCACAGGAGCAGACGUUUUUAGAGUGUGUAGAUGAAUAAACACACUCCCAUGAGCUGGGAAAUCAAAUCAUGAGCGCAUGCAUUGUAAUAAUCUACUUAUGGUGCAUGGACAUAUUUUGCUACCCUUUGAACACAUCACUUAAUAUUAUCACAGCUGUUACUCUGCUGCUGUGAUGCACCAUUUACCUUCAAUGCUGUGCAUUAUUAUGGGAUAUGAUGUAUA
Molecule: long non-coding RNA, 6510 nt
Organism: Triplophysa rosa
Lineage: Eukaryota; Metazoa; Chordata; Actinopteri; Cypriniformes; Nemacheilidae
Exons: 3
Source: RefSeq, a predicted model, not a curated record